CUGUGUGUACUUGUACUGUAGAGUACAUAGUUGUACAGUAUAAUGAUAAUAUUAACAGGAUGAUGUUCAUAUGUGAGUGAUGUCAUUUGUUUUUGUUCAUCGUAGUGGGAGAUGUUUUUAAUGUGUAUCUUCUUUCUUAAAAACUACUGAAUCAUCUCACCUUUAAUUCUAGAUCACUUUAUUACUUUGGUCCAAUAUGUGCGCAGAAAAAUCACGAUUCUUUUAACUGGUCUUAUUAUAUGGGGUUCUGAGAGCAAACAAACCAAAACUGUACAUUUGUGUUCUUGUCAUAAUUAGAUCAUAUAAGAUGAAAGUUAUCUCAAAUAUACCUUGCUCUAGGCCUCACAAGAUUUUGUUUACCGAGGUCAGAGGACACAUAACUGCCACAGUCCACAAACAGGGGUAUAGAUAUAUUAACAUAUAUUUCUGUCAUUUUAUAAGGGUCAGGCACUUGGACACCUUACUUCUAGGAAAGAUUAGAAUGUCUACAAUUGCACAGUUUAUACUACUGAAGAGUAAAGGGCAUCUUAAUAUAAAUUUCUAAGCACUUCAAAGGGCUUUACAAUACUUGGUUAUAUGUACAGUAUACAUCUGGGAGUUAAUGGAUCGUUGCCCCACUGGAGGUUACAGCCUCAAGUGAGAGAAACUGUCAGUACAGGUAACUAUCGGCACCAACUUCUUUGGAGUAACAGUUAAGCAUAGAAGAAACUGUCAGCAAAUAUUGUGACAACACCAUAUGUGAGCUUUAAUUAUUGAUUUUACGAUACUCAUUCUCAGGCUGUGAAGUCGACCAACGCCUGGCUACUAACAGAUGGGUUAAACAAGGGCAUCACCUGUGUAGUGGGACACGCAGUCAACAGAGCUCAGUCUAUUAUUAAGGUGGGGGACAGGAUGGUGUCACAGAUUCAUUGCCUGGGAGUGACUCCUUAUGGUCUUGUUAAGAAUAAAUCUCGUCUUGUUAAUAAGGACCCUGACCAGUUCCACUCUGUGUUAUAUGAAGUGGAUGAAGAGGGUGAUGAGGGCCAGCCCAC
Long non-coding RNA from Homarus americanus (American lobster), 1031 nucleotides. RefSeq lists it as uncharacterized. Lineage: Eukaryota; Metazoa; Arthropoda; Malacostraca; Decapoda; Nephropidae. The record is from RefSeq and is a predicted model, not a curated record. The transcript has 3 exons.